This 253-nucleotide ribosomal RNA is filed under the name uncultured bacterium. RNAcentral's name for it is "partial 16S ribosomal RNA". It matches the Rfam family "Bacterial small subunit ribosomal RNA", at positions 524 to 776 of the family's 1533-position model. The record is from RNAcentral.
UACGUAGGGCGCAAGCGUUAUCCGGAAUUAUUGGGCGUAAAGAGCUCGUAGGCAGUUUGUCGCGUCUGCCGUGAAAGUCCGGGGCUCAACUCCGGAUCUGCGGUGGGUACGGGCAGACUAGAGUGAUGUAGGGGAGACUGGAAUUCCUGGUGUAGCGGUGAAAUGCGCAGAUAUCAGGAGGAACACCGAUGGCGAAGGCAGGUCUCUGGGCAUUAACUGACGCUGAGGAGCGAAAGCAUGGGGAGCGAACAGG